AUUGAACGCUGGCGGUAUGCUUAACACAUGCAAGUCGAACGGUAACGACAGAGAGCUUGCUCUCUGGGCGACGAGUGGCGGACGGGUGAGUAAUAUAUAGGAACCUUCCUCAUAGUUUGGGAUAACUACUCGAAAGAGUGGCUAAUACCGGAUGUGGACUACGGUUUAAAGCAGGGAUCUUCGGACCUUGCGCUACGAGAUGGGCCUAUACAAGAUUAGCUAGUUGGUGAGGUAAAUGCUCACCAAGGCACGAUCUUUAGCUGGGUUUGAGAGGGAUGACCAGCCACACUGGGGACUGAGACACGGGCCCAGACUCCUACGGGGAGGGCAGCAGUGGGGGGAAUAUUGCACAAUGGGGGCNCAAGCCCUGAUGCAGCCCAUGCCCG
RNAcentral lists this ribosomal RNA (386 nucleotides) under uncultured Pseudomonadota bacterium. RNAcentral's name for it is "bacterial SSU rRNA". It matches the Rfam family "Bacterial small subunit ribosomal RNA", at positions 30 to 399 of the family's 1533-position model. Lineage: Bacteria; Pseudomonadati; Pseudomonadota. The record is from RNAcentral.